Molecule: ribosomal RNA, 415 nt
Filed under: uncultured bacterium
Lineage: Bacteria
Description: bacterial SSU rRNA
Rfam family: Bacterial small subunit ribosomal RNA
Source: RNAcentral
UGAGGAAUAUUGGUCAAUGGGCGGGAGCCUGAACCAGCCAAGUCGCGUGAAGGAAGAAGGAUCUAUGGUUCGUAAACUUCUUUUGCAGGGGAAUAAAGUGCAGGACGUGUCCUGUUUUGUAUGCACCCUGAGAAUAAGGAUCGGCUAACUCCGUGCCAGCAGCCGCGGUAAUACGGAGGAUCCGAGCGUUAUCCGGAUGUAUUGGGUUUAAAGGGUGCGUAGGUGGUUUGAUAAGUCAGCGGUGAAAGUUUGCAGCUUAACUGUAAAAAUGCCGUUGAAACUGUCGGACUUGAGUGUAAAUGAGGUAGGCGGAAUGCGUGGUGUAGCGGUGAAAUGCAUAGCUAUCACGCAGAACUCCGAUUGCGAAGGCAGCUUACUAAGCUACAACUGACACUGAAGCACGAAAGCGUGGGGA